GGUAUCAGCGCUUUCCUGGUUCCCAUGCCAACUCCUGGGCUUACGCUGGGCAAAAAGGAAGACAAGCUGGGCAUCCGGGCCUCAUCUACAGCUAACCUCAUCUUUGAGGACUGUCGCAUCCCCAAGGAGAACCUGCUCGGCGAGCCUGGGAUGGGCUUCAAGAUAGCCAUGGUGAGCCUGGCUACAGGGCAGCACCCUGGGGCCAGGCCUUGGGCCCAGCCUACAGCUACUGACUGGGCGGUCCCCACAGCAAACCCUGGACAUGGGCCGCAUUGGCAUCGCCUCCCAGGCCCUGGGUAUUGCCCAGGCCUCCCUGGAUUGUGCCGUGAAGUACGCCGAGAACCGCCAUGCCUUUGGGGCACCCCUCACAAAGCUCCAAAACAUCCAGUUCAAGCUGGCAGACAUGGCCCUGGCCCUGGAGAGUGCCCGCCUGCUGACCUGGCGCGCCGCCAUGUUGAAGGACAAUAAGAAGCCUUUCACCAAGGAGUCGGCCAUGGCCAAGCUGGCUGCAUCAGAGGCUGCUACUGCCAUU
Molecule: long non-coding RNA, 532 nt
Filed under: Rattus norvegicus (Norway rat)
Lineage: Eukaryota; Metazoa; Chordata; Mammalia; Rodentia; Muridae
Description: long non-coding RNA NONRATT007612
Source: RNAcentral